This 897-nucleotide ribosomal RNA is filed under the name uncultured bacterium. RNAcentral describes it as "bacterial SSU rRNA". It matches the Rfam family "Bacterial small subunit ribosomal RNA", at positions 65 to 992 of the family's 1533-position model. The record is from RNAcentral.
GACGAUGAAUCUUCUAGCUUGCUAGAAGUGGAUUAGUGGCGCACGGGUGAGUAAUGCAUAGGUUAUGUGCCCUUUAGUCUGGGAUAGCCACUGGAAACGGUGAUUAAUACUGGAUACUCCCUACGGGGGAAAGUUUUUCGCUAAAGGAUCAGCCUAUGUCCUAUCAGCUUGUUGGUGAGGUAAUGGCUCACCAAGGCUAUGACGGGUAUCCGGCCUGAGAGGGUGAUCGGACACACUGGAACCGAGACACGGUCCAGACUCCUACGGGAGGCAGCAGUAGGGAAUAUUGCUCAAUGGGGGAAACCCUGAAGCAGCAACGCCGCGUGGAGGAUGAAGGUUUUAGGAUUGUAAACUCCUUUUGUUAGAGAAGAUUAUGACGGUAUCUAACGAAUAAGCACCGGCUAACUCCGUGCCAGCAGCCGCGGUAAUACGGAGGGUGCAAGCGUUACUCGGAAUCACUGGGCGUAAAGAGUGCGUAGGCGGGGUAAUAAGUCAGAUGUGAAAUCCUGUAGCUUAACUACAGAACUGCAUUUGAAACUGUUACUCUGGAGUGUGGGAGAGGUAGGUGGAAUUCUUGGUGUAGGGGUAAAAUCCGUAGAGAUCAAGAGGAAUACUCAUUGCGAAGGCGACCUGCUGGAACAUUACUGACGCUGAUGCACGAAAGCGUGGGGAGCAAACAGGAUUAGAUACCCUGGUAGUCCACGCCCUAAACGAUGGAUGCUAGUUGUUGCCUUGCUUGUCAGGGCAGUAAUGCAGCUAACGCAUUAAGCAUCCCGCCUGGGGAGUACGGUCGCAAGAUUAAAACUCAAAGGAAUAGACGGGGACCCGCACAAGCGGUGGAGCAUGUGGUUUAAUUCGAAGAUACGCGAAGAACCUUACCUAGGCUUGACAUUGAUA